This 434-nucleotide ribosomal RNA is filed under the name uncultured bacterium. Its description in RNAcentral is "partial 16S ribosomal RNA". It matches the Rfam family "Bacterial small subunit ribosomal RNA", at positions 29 to 507 of the family's 1533-position model. The record is from RNAcentral.
AGCGAACGCUGGCGGCAGGCCUAACACAUGCAAGUCGAACGAACCUUUCGGGGUUAGUGGCGGACGGGUGAGUAACACGUGGGAACGUGCCUUUAGGCUCGGAAUAACUCAGGGAAACUUGUGCUAAUACCGAAUGUGCCCUUCGGGGGAAAGAUUAAUCGCCUUUAGAGCGGCCCGCGUCUGAUUAGCUAGUUGGUUGAGGUAAUGGCUCACCAAGGCGACGAUCAGUAGCUGGUCUGAGAGGAUGAUCAGCCACAUUGGGACUGAGACACGGCCCAAACUCCUACGGGAGGCAGCAGUGGGGAAUCUUGCGCAAUGGGCGAAAGCCUGACGCAGCCAUGCCGCGUGAAUGAUGAAGGUCUUAGGAUUGUAAAAUUCUUUCACCGGGGACGAUAAUGACGGUACCCGGAGAAGAAGCCCCGGCUAACUUCGUG